GAUUAACGCUGGCGGCGUGCCUAACACAUGCAAGUCGAGCGGCAGCGAGUUUUCCACUGAAUUCUGGAAGCUUCUAGUUGAAAGAGAAGAUUUAUUCAAGAAUUUUGUGUAAAAUGUCGGCGAGCGGCGGACGGCUGAGUAACGCGUGGGAACGUACCCCAAAGUGAGGGAUAACGCAUCGAAAGGUGUGCUAAUACCGCAUAUGGUCUUCGGAUUAAAGCCUUCGGGCGCUUUGGGAACGGCCUGCGUAAGAUUAGAUAGUUGGUGGGGUAAUGGCCUACCAAGUCGACGAUCUUUAACUGGUUUGAGAGGAUGAUCAGUCAGACUGGAACUGAGACACGGUCCAGACUCCUACGGGAGGCAGCAGUGAGGAAUCUUCCACAAUGGGCGAAAGCCUGAUGGAGCAACGCCGCGUGCAGGAUGAAGGCCUUCGGGUUGUAAACUGCUUUUAUAAGUGAGGAUUAUGACAGUAACUUAUGAAUAAGGAUCGGCUAACUACGUG
Molecule: ribosomal RNA, 502 nt
Filed under: uncultured bacterium
Lineage: Bacteria
Description: partial 16S ribosomal RNA
Rfam family: Bacterial small subunit ribosomal RNA
Source: RNAcentral